This 102-nucleotide ribosomal RNA is filed under the name Zymoseptoria tritici. RNAcentral describes it as "partial 18S ribosomal RNA". The stretch from base 1 to 42 matches the Rfam family "Eukaryotic small subunit ribosomal RNA", at positions 1790 to 1831 of the family's 1831-position model. Lineage: Eukaryota; Fungi; Ascomycota; Dothideomycetes; Mycosphaerellales; Mycosphaerellaceae. The record is from RNAcentral.
CGUAACAAGGUCUCCGUAGGUGAACCUGCGGAGGGAUCAUUACCGAGCGAGGGCCUCCGGCGUAACAAGGUCUCCGUAGGUGAACCUGCGGAGGGAUCAUUA